This is a small nuclear RNA of 101 nucleotides. Its record names the gene U2. It matches the Rfam family "U2 spliceosomal RNA". From Rfam's summary of the family: U2 is a small nuclear RNA (snRNA) component of the spliceosome (involved in pre-mRNA splicing). Complementary binding between U2 snRNA (in an area lying towards the 5' end but 3' to hairpin I) and the branchpoint sequence (BPS) of the intron results the bulging out of an unpaired adenosine, on the BPS, which initiates a nucleophilic attack at the intronic 5' splice site, thus starting the first of two transesterification reactions that mediate splicing. The record is from Ensembl.
AUUUUAUUUAAGCCUUUUGGCUAAGAUCAAGUGUAGUAUCUGUUCUUAUCAGUUUAAAUUUUAGUUAAAUGAUAGUAGUAACUUCCCUCUAUUGAGCCUUU